Long non-coding RNA from Syngnathus acus (greater pipefish), 348 nucleotides. RefSeq lists it as uncharacterized. The transcript is spliced from 3 exons. The record is from RefSeq and is a predicted model, not a curated record. NCBI's taxonomy places the organism in Eukaryota, Metazoa, Chordata, Actinopteri, Syngnathiformes, Syngnathidae.
GUGCUUUCUCUGCCUCUGGAGAGCAGCGAAGGAGAGGAGUAAUGUUCCAUGGCCGCUACGUGGAACGUGUAAUCUGUUUGAGAAACUCACUGCAGCUGUUCAUCUGCUUUGGGGAAGAAAAAAAAAAAGUCUCCGCUGAGAAAAGAGAUUCACUUUUCAGGGGGGUGCAGACAGGAUAAACUGACCGCAGUUGUCGUACAAAGGAGACAAAAGCACAUUCCUGCAUUUUCUACAAAACAACUGGCAGGAACACCGGAAACCUUUGAGUCCACAUCUGCCCGCAUUGACCUUAAGAUACAAAAGUCUACGACACCAUGACAACGGCUAUCUGUUAACAUAAUGAUGCCA